CUGGAAGGGAAUUUUGGGCUCCUGUAUUGCCCCAAGACGUGGAUUCUAAUCCUGGCUCUGACACCUACCCCCUGGGAAAUGAUGAAAUGUCCAGUUUCAGAAGAAAGUGGGAGAUCUCUAUGAGCUGAUACAGAGCAAGGUCUGCAAUUGAUCAUAUAGAUGAUGAAGCAGAAUUUUACAGUAGUUAUGGCUUGCCUGUGGUCACCCAGCUAAUAAAUGUCAGAGGGAAGACUGGAACCCAGCCAUUCCUGACACCAGCUCCAGUACUCUC
This is a non-coding RNA of Phascolarctos cinereus (koala), 271 nucleotides long. The record is from RefSeq and is a predicted model, not a curated record. NCBI's taxonomy places the organism in Eukaryota, Metazoa, Chordata, Mammalia, Diprotodontia, Phascolarctidae.